This 387-nucleotide ribosomal RNA is filed under the name uncultured bacterium. RNAcentral's name for it is "bacterial SSU rRNA". It matches the Rfam family "Bacterial small subunit ribosomal RNA", at positions 28 to 416 of the family's 1533-position model. The record is from RNAcentral.
GACGAACGCUGGCGGCGUGCUUAACACAUGCAAGUCGAGCGGUAAGGCCCUUUCGGGGGUACACGAGCGGCGAACGGGUGAGUAACACGUGGGUGACCUGCCCUCAGCUCUGGGAUAAGCCUGGGGAACCGGGUCUAAUACUGGAUAUGACUCCAUGACGCAUGUUGUGGGGUGGAAAGCCUUGUGCGGCUGAGGAUGGGCCCGCGGCCUAUCAGCUUGUUGGUGGGGUGANGGCCUACCAAGGCGACGACGGGUAGCCGGCCUGAGAGGGCGACCGGCCACACUGGGACUGAGACACGGCCCAGACUCCUACGGGAGGCAGCAGUGGGGAAUCUUGCGCAAUGGGCGAAAGCCUGACGCAGCGACGCCGCGUGAGGGAUGACGGCC